RNAcentral lists this ribosomal RNA (314 nucleotides) under uncultured bacterium. RNAcentral's name for it is "bacterial SSU rRNA". It matches the Rfam family "Bacterial small subunit ribosomal RNA", at positions 28 to 334 of the family's 1533-position model. The record is from RNAcentral.
GAUGAACGCUAGCUACAGGCUUAACACAUGCAAGUCGAGGGGCAUCAGGAAGGAAGCUUGCUUUCUUCGCUGGCGACCGGCGCACGGGUGAGUAACACGUAUCCAACCUGCCGAUGACUCGGGGAUAGCCUUUCGAAAGAAAGAUUAAUACCCGAUGGCAUAGUUCUUCCGCAUGGUAGGACUAUUAAAGAAUUUCGGUCAUCGAUGGGGAUGCGUUCCAUUAGCUUGUUGGCGGGGUAACGGCCCACCAAGGCGACGAUGCGUAGGGGUUCUGAGAGGAAGGUCCCCCACACUGGUACUGAGACACGGACCAG